This is a long non-coding RNA of Contarinia nasturtii (swede midge), 429 nucleotides long. RefSeq lists it as uncharacterized. The record is from RefSeq and is a predicted model, not a curated record. Lineage: Eukaryota; Metazoa; Arthropoda; Insecta; Diptera; Cecidomyiidae. The transcript has 3 exons.
ACCGUUCACAUCGCCUUGUUGCGCGUAUUUUUCGCUUCACGAUGAAGAAACAUUACGAACAUACGAAUACGACUAGUGUCUACAGUAUUGUGGUUUUUUUACAGUGCCGAAUACAUUGUUUACAUACAACACGUUCUCCUUGAUUUGUGCUUUGGCGGAACUAUAUCCAAUAUCGGGGAGAAAAAAAUGUAUAUACGUACGAUGUGGUACACACAAAAGUGGACAUUAAAAAAAUGUAUAUAUUACAUCAGCAGCAGGCCAAUUUUCGAUACUGGAGUUGAGUAAGUACAAGAAUUGAUGAGUUUUAAACAAUUAAAAAAGCGAUUUGUUUGGAUGGACACACAGCAAUUACCACUCAAAUUAAAAUGAUGGAAUGUGCUUAUGUUAAUAAUAUAAACAAAAGCACUCAAUAAAAUUUAAUAAACUCAA